This 239-nucleotide ribosomal RNA is filed under the name uncultured Lactobacillus sp. RNAcentral describes it as "partial 16S ribosomal RNA". It matches the Rfam family "Bacterial small subunit ribosomal RNA", at positions 123 to 354 of the family's 1533-position model. Lineage: Bacteria; Bacillati; Bacillota; Bacilli; Lactobacillales; Lactobacillaceae. The record is from RNAcentral.
AACCUGCCCAAGAGAUCGGGAUAACACCUGGAGACAGAUGCUAAUACCGGAUAACAACAGAUGAUGCCUAUCAACUGUUUAAAAGAUGGUUCUGCUACCACUCUUGGAUGGACCUGCGGUGCAUUAGCUAGUUGGUAGGGUAACGGCCUACCAAGGCGAUGAUGCAUAGCCGAGUUGAGAGACUGAUCGGCCACAUUGGGACUGAGACACGGCCCAAACUCCUACGGGAGGCAGCAGAA